AAAUGAAUUGACGGGGGCCCGCACAAGCGGAGGAACAUGUGGUUUAAUUCGAUGAUACGCGAGGAACCUUACCCGGGCUCGAACGGUGCAUGAAUGUAAUAGAGAUAUUGCAGCUAUUUAUAGCAUGUAUCGAGGUGCUGCAUGGUUGUCGUCAGCUCGUGCCGUGAGGUGUCGGCUUAAGUGCCAUAACGAGCGCAACCCUUUUCGUUAGUUACCAUCAGGUUAAGCUGGGGACUUUAGCGAGACUGCCGCCGUAAGGUGUGAGGAAGGGGGGGAUGACGUCAAAUCAGCACGGCCCUUACGUCCGGGGCGACACACGUGUUACAAUGGUAGGUACAGAGGGCUGCUUUUCGGUGACGGAAUGCUAAUCUCGAAAACCUAUCUCAGUUCGGAUCGGAGUCUGCAACUCGACUCCGUGAAGUUGGAUUCGCUAGUAAUCGCGCAUCAGCCACGGCGCGGUGAAUACGUUCCCGGGCCUUGUACACACCGCCCGU
Molecule: ribosomal RNA, 494 nt
Filed under: uncultured bacterium
Lineage: Bacteria
Description: bacterial SSU rRNA
Rfam family: Bacterial small subunit ribosomal RNA
Source: RNAcentral